This is a long non-coding RNA of Vicia villosa (hairy vetch), 1008 nucleotides long. RefSeq lists it as uncharacterized. The transcript is spliced from 2 exons. Lineage: Eukaryota; Viridiplantae; Streptophyta; Magnoliopsida; Fabales; Fabaceae. The record is from RefSeq and is a predicted model, not a curated record.
UUAACAACACUACUAUACAAUUCUUGCUCAACCGCAUAAUGAUAUCAUCUUCAUCAACAACAUGGUUACUGACGCAAUCGAUUGAGCGCGUGAAAAUGCAAGAUGGAGUGGAAAACAUGCUUACAAUUUCUCUUUUCAUUUCAUCAUAACAUCACCACCAUACUCAUUCUACAACCCAACAUCAUCUUCAUCAACAUAAUAACAAUACUACUUCACCAUUCUUCUUCAACCACACAACAUCAUCUUCAUUAACAACAUCAUCUUCAUCAACAAUGUUAUCAAUACCAUCUUCAAAAACACAACAAUCAUUACUCCCAAAUUCAACAAGAUGACAUUAUCACUAUUCAUUUUCAACAAGCUUCUCAAUGACCUCGUAAUGCUACCACGAUCUCAUCUCAAAUAAUUGCCGAUGAGUUAAAGAGUAUGUUGGUACUAAAUAUUAUUAGACAAGUUACUAUUACUAUAAUCAUGCCGAUGAGUUAGAGCUGUAAUGCCAUUCAAGCUCAAGUCCAGAUGAGUUAGUAUUACUAUAAUCAUGUUCGGUUUAAAUCCACCAGUAUCUCAUACCAAAGUUGCUUCAAAUUUGAUCAUGUUGACAGAUGAUUAUGCUGCAAAGGUACACGGUAGAAUAUGGAGGAUUCGUUAAAAGGCUUAUGGAGUAAAAGCUUUGGUGUCUCGAUGGCAUGAAGACUUGUACUUGACUUAUGUUCUGAUGUGCAUUUCUUUGUAGCUCUAUGUAGACGUUCUUGUUGUAUACAUAUCUUAGCUGCAGUUUUAUAAAAUAUAUAUUUUGGAAUAUUAUUUAUUUGUUUUUGUUUGUACUGACUACUAAAAUAUCAAUAUUUUACCGAUAUGAUUCUAGACACAUUGGUGGGGUAUAAAUUCAAAAAUUAUUCUAUUUGCUAUGUAAUAAGGUAAUUUGGAUGAUACUUUAGUCCUUGUGAAAUGAUGUAAUUAUUCUUUUAUGGUAAAAAAUUAUUUUAUCUUUUAUCCAUUCAAUUUCAAUAA